AACUAGCUGCCAUUGGUAGGCGGACGGAACUUUGGGUAAGUGGGCCUUGAUUGACUACUGGGGAAACAAAGAGAAGGCAUUUCUGUUGGCUGUUGAGAAGCAGGAAGUAUAUGGAGUUAAAGUAGGAAGUACAUGAAACUAGCUGCCAUUGGUAGGCGGACGGAACUUUGGGUUGCAGGAGCCAGGUUGGAAUUAUCUUGGGCUGCUUAUUUUGGUUAUUACUGGCCUCUAUUUGCCAUUUGAGGCACCCUCUAUGCUUUGAGAGUUAGCUGGCAGCAAACACUGCCUCCUGCUACAGGAGCACACAGUGUUGGUGCCUCCUUUUCCAGCCUCCAACUCCAACAGGAAACAAGCACAGGACCCAGGCAUUGCAGAAAGAUUCAACAUGCCAACGUGCAUUCAGAGCUACUGGCAGUGGCAAAAUAAAUGGAAAAUACAGGACAAUUUUUGAAGGAAAGGUGUGUUUGUGUCUGGUGAGAGUGCUGAGUAACAAAGGAGGACAUAUUCCAAAAAGAGCAAGAAAACACAGGGAUAUUUUUAUAAUGAACGACGACCUAAAACAGCCUUCUUCUCUUUUUUUCUUACAUUUCAAAAAUUUAAACAAUGUGACUGACUCUCUCUGUAUCGGUAAUACCAUGACAUAUGUUGGCGGU
RNAcentral lists this long non-coding RNA (653 nucleotides) under Callithrix jacchus (white-tufted-ear marmoset). RNAcentral's name for it is "lncRNA (ENSCJAG00000051674.2)". The record is from RNAcentral. Lineage: Eukaryota; Metazoa; Chordata; Mammalia; Primates; Cebidae.